GACCUCAAAUCAGGUAAGAAUACCCGCUGAACUUAAGCAUAUCAAUAAGCGGAGGAAAAGAAAAUAACAAUGAUUCCCUCAGUAACGGCGAGCGAAGAGGGAUAAGCUCAAAUUUUAAAUCUGUUGGGUUUCAACCUAACAGAGUUGUAUUUUGAAGAAACGUUUUCUGCGUCCAGGAUUAGCCUAAAUCCUUUGGGAUAAGGUAUCAUGGAGGGUGAGAAUCCCGUUCAUGGUUAAUCUUAAGGAUGCUCUACGAUACGUUCUCCAAGAGUCGAGUUGUUUGGGAUUGCAGCUCAAAAUGGGAGGUAAAUUUCUCCUAAGGCUAAAUAUUGGCGAGAGACCGAUAGCGAACAAGUACCGUGAGGGAAAGAUGAAAAGAACUUUGAAAAGAGAGUUAAACAGUACGUGAAAUUGUUGAAAGGGAAACGAUUGAAGUCAGUCAUACCAACGGGAAAUCAACCUUUUGAGUUCGUUCUUGUGGGUUUCGAGGAGUUUAAAAGCCUUCUGAUUUGCUAGGAUUGGGCUCUUUUGGUGUACUUUCUCGUACGGUUAGUCAACAUCGGUUUUGAAUGUCAUAAAAUGAUUGGAGGAAUGUGGCUUCGAUCUCGUAUCGAAGUGUUAUAACCUUUGGUAGAUGUGAUGUUCGAGACCGAGGAUUGCAACGGAUACCUUCCAGGCUAUUCGUCUGAUCUCUGAUACGUUGCCUUGAUGUCGAAAGCGUGCUUAUGAUGUUAGGGUAUUACGGUCAAAAGGUUAGAACGGAUUAAAUUCGUUAAGGAUGUUGACGUAAUGACUUUAAACGACCCGUCUUGAAACACGGACCAAGGAG
This 829-nucleotide ribosomal RNA is filed under the name Funneliformis geosporum. Its description in RNAcentral is "LSU rRNA". It matches the Rfam family "Eukaryotic large subunit ribosomal RNA", at positions 1 to 673 of the family's 3401-position model. The record is from RNAcentral. Lineage: Eukaryota; Fungi; Glomeromycota; Glomeromycetes; Glomerales; Glomeraceae.